CACCCACCUAUCCAUCUGGCCGAGGCGGACUGACAUUCUCACCCUGGCUAUCCACAAAACUCCCAAACCCAGACGAACCUAUUCCCUCUUCCCUGCACUUCCCUCACAGUACUACCACCCUAAACAUGACGACGAGUACAAAACACAUGGCAACACAUCACGGGAACUCAACAUAACGAAACUAAAUGAUGUGAGGGGUAGCACCUCAG
Pelobates cultripes (western spadefoot toad) is the source of this 209-nucleotide non-coding RNA. The record is from the annotation of a GenBank genome assembly. Lineage: Eukaryota; Metazoa; Chordata; Amphibia; Anura; Pelobatidae.